GAUGAACGCUAGCGACAGGCUUAACACAUGCAAGUCGAGGGGCAGCACGGGAGUAGCAAUACAACUGGUGGCGACCGGCGCACGGGUGAGUAACGCGUAUGCAACCUACCUAUCAGAGGGGAAUAACCCGGCGAAAGUCGGACUAAUACCGCAUAAAACAGGGGCACCGCAUGGUGCUAUUUGUUAAAGAAAUUCGCUGAUAGAUGGGCAUGCGUUCCAUUAGGUAGUUGGUGAGGUAACGGCUCACCAAGCCGACGAUGGAUAGGGGAACUGAGAGGUUGGUCCCCCACACUGGUACUGAGACACGGACCAGACUCCUACGGGAGGCAGCAGUGAGGAAUAUUGGUCAAUGGGCGAGAGCCUGAACCAGCCAAGUCGCGUGAAGGAAGAAGGAUCUAUGGUUCGUAAACUUCUUUUGCAGGGGAAUAAAGUGCAGGACGUGUCCUGUUUUGUAUGUACCCUGAGAAUAAGGAUCGGCUAACUCCGUGCCAGCCGCCGCCGUAA
RNAcentral lists this ribosomal RNA (504 nucleotides) under uncultured bacterium. RNAcentral's name for it is "partial 16S ribosomal RNA". It matches the Rfam family "Bacterial small subunit ribosomal RNA", at positions 28 to 523 of the family's 1533-position model. The record is from RNAcentral.